CAUGCAAGUCGAACGGAAAGGCCCUUCGGGGUACUCGAGUGGCGAACGGGUGAGUAACACGUGGGUGAUCUGCCCUGCACUUUGGGAUAAGCCUGGGAAACUGGGUCUAAUACCGAAUAGGACCACGGUCUGCAUGGAUUGUGGUGGAAAGCUUUUGCGGUGUGGGAUGGGCCCGCGGCCUAUCAGCUUGUUGGUGAGGUUACGGCUCACCAAGGCGACGACGGGUAGCCGGCCUGAGAGGGUGUCCGGCCACACUGGGACUGAGAUACGGCCCAGACUCCUACGGGAGGCAGCAGUGGGGAAUAUUGCACAAUGGGCGCAAGCCUGAUGCAGCGACGCCGCGUGAGGGAUGACGGCCUUCGGGUUGUAAACCUCUUUCGCCAGGGACGAAGCGCAAGUGACGGUACCUGGAGAAGAAGCACCGGCCAACUACGUGCCAGCAGCCGCGGUAAUACGUAGGGUGCGAGCGUUGUCCGGAAUUACUGGGCGUAAAGAGCUCGUAGGUGGUUUGUCGCGUUGUGGGUGAAAACUCACA
Molecule: ribosomal RNA, 535 nt
Filed under: uncultured Mycobacterium sp.
Lineage: Bacteria; Bacillati; Actinomycetota; Actinomycetes; Mycobacteriales; Mycobacteriaceae
Description: bacterial SSU rRNA
Rfam family: Bacterial small subunit ribosomal RNA
Source: RNAcentral